AAGGUUUCCGUAGGUGAACCUGCGGAAGGAUCAUUAUUGAAUGAACUUGGUGUGGUUGUCGCUGGCCCUCUUGGGGGCAUGUGCACACCUACCAUUCUCAUCUCUCCACCUGUGCACCUCUUGUAGAUUUGGAAUUGAUUAUCCGAGGCAACUCGGUCGUGAGGACUGCUAGCACUUAGCCGGCUUUCUUUGCAAUUCCAGGUCUAUGUUUUUCAUAUACCCCAUUGUAUGUAACAGAAUGUAUCAUUGGGCCCUUGUGCCUAUAAACCUUAUACAACUUUCAGCAACGGAUCUCUUGGCUCUCGCAUCGAUGAAGAACGCAGCGAAAUGCGAUAAGUAAUGUGAAUUGCAGAAUUCAGUGAAUCAUCGAAUCUUUGAACGCACCUUGCGCUCCUUGGUAUUCCGAGGAGCAUGCCUGUUUGAGUGUCAUUAAAUUCUCAACCAUUAUCAACUUUUGCUGAUAAUGGCUUGGAUGUGGGGGUCUAUUUUGCUGGCUUCUCAGAUAGUCAGCUCCCCUUAAAUGCAUUAGCCGGUGCCCCGCGUGGACUGUCUAUUGGUGUGAUAAUUAUCUACGCUAUAGACAUCYGCAAUCAUAUGGGUUUGCGCUGCUUCUAACAGUCUGUUGAUUCAGACAAUACAUGACAAUUUGACCUCAAAUCAGGUAGGACUACCCGCUGAACUUAA
RNAcentral lists this ribosomal RNA (684 nucleotides) under Hebeloma aanenii. Its description in RNAcentral is "eukaryotic LSU rRNA". The record is from RNAcentral. Lineage: Eukaryota; Fungi; Basidiomycota; Agaricomycetes; Agaricales; Hymenogastraceae.